This 228-nucleotide ribosomal RNA is filed under the name uncultured bacterium. RNAcentral describes it as "partial 16S ribosomal RNA". It matches the Rfam family "Bacterial small subunit ribosomal RNA", at positions 568 to 795 of the family's 1533-position model. The record is from RNAcentral.
UGCGCAGGCGGGCUUGUAAGUCAGUGGUGAAAUACUGCCGCUCAACGGUAGAACUGCCAUUGAUACUGCAAGUCUUGAAUAUGGUUGAGGUAGGCGGAAUGUGUCGUGUAGCGGUGAAAUGCAUAUAUAUGACACAGAACGCCAAUUGCGAAGGCAGCUUACUAAGCCAUUAUUGACGAUGAGGCACGAAAGCGUGGGGAGCGAACAGGAUUAGAUACCCUGGUAGUC